Molecule: non-coding RNA, 365 nt
Organism: Lonchura striata (white-rumped munia)
Lineage: Eukaryota; Metazoa; Chordata; Aves; Passeriformes; Estrildidae
Source: RefSeq, a predicted model, not a curated record
UCCUUUUAGGGAGAUAAUUUCAGAAACCAUGACUGGUCUGCUAUGGAAGAUCAAGCUAUCAGGAGAAACUGGGCCCUCUGCAGUCAGCUCUUCUGUCAUUUGCAGAAGAUUUUGGAGUAAGAGCUGAAGUGUGACCAUCCUACCUUCACCUUCAGCCCAGUCAUUCUCCCUUGACAUCAACAAGGCAGCUCCCAAUGUGCACAGGAUAACAGCAGCUGCUGGCAGCUCAAUCCUGCAGUCACUGAGGUUUCACCAAUGUCUCAGCAGUUCAUGCAGGACUGAUGAACAAAAAUUCAUAUGGCAAUGGAAGUGCAAAGAGAUCAACAAAACAAUAUGUGCAAAAUUAAAGUCAGAAUGCAACAUCA